UUUGAAAGUUCCACAGAGGUCUAUAACUGUCUCUCAGAACCUCUGCACCUAGACUUAACCUAACACCAAACCAACUAACCCUAGAUUCAGUACCUUUAAGAUCACCACUGAAAUAAAUGUCAUUUACAGAGAUCCCCCUACCACUACAUUUGUUGGAUCUCCUUUAUAAGAAGGAAGAAGGAAGGAGAAAGUUCUGGAAUGAGACAGUAUUGUUUGGAAAUCUGGGAACUACAAACAGCACCAGGAGGGUUUACCAUUAUUAGAUUUUGUUGCAUUUUCUUAUGGCAAAGUAAAGGUUAAGCAAAACCAGUGACCAUGUCUGACAGUGUAUGUAAUGUUUUGUAGCUGUAAUGCCUAACUCUCUUCAGAAAGGACAGAAAUGAUCUCAUCUUUUUUUAUGAGGCCAAGAUUAGUAAUUAAAAUCACAUCAU
This 431-nucleotide long non-coding RNA is filed under the name Monodelphis domestica (gray short-tailed opossum). RNAcentral's name for it is "lncRNA (ENSMODG00000031541.2)". Lineage: Eukaryota; Metazoa; Chordata; Mammalia; Didelphimorphia; Didelphidae. The record is from RNAcentral.